UGUGCCUACGGGGCGCAGCAGUGGGGAAUCUUGCGCAAUGGGAGGAAGCCUGGCGCAGCGACGCCGCGUGCGGGACGAAGGCCUUCGGGUCGUAAACCGCUUUCAGCAGGGACGAGGCCCUCACGGUGACGGUACCUGCAGAAGAAGCCCCGGCUAACUACGUGCCAGCAGCCGCGGUAAUACGUAGGGGGCGAGCGUUAUCCGGAUUCAUUGGGCGUAAAGCGCGCGUAGGCGGCCUGUUAGGUCGGGGGUCAAAUACAGGGGCUCAACCCCGGUCCGCCCCCGAUGC
RNAcentral lists this ribosomal RNA (289 nucleotides) under uncultured bacterium. Its description in RNAcentral is "partial 16S ribosomal RNA". It matches the Rfam family "Bacterial small subunit ribosomal RNA", at positions 333 to 633 of the family's 1533-position model. The record is from RNAcentral.